This 492-nucleotide ribosomal RNA is filed under the name uncultured bacterium. Its description in RNAcentral is "partial 16S ribosomal RNA". It matches the Rfam family "Bacterial small subunit ribosomal RNA", at positions 29 to 507 of the family's 1533-position model. The record is from RNAcentral.
AGUGAACGCUGGCGGUAGGCCUAACACAUGCAAGUCGAACGGCAGCACAGUAAGAGCUUGCUCUUACGGGUGGCGAGUGGCGGACGGGUGAGGAAUACAUCGGAAUCUACUUUUUCGUGGGGGAUAACGUAGGGAAACUUACGCUAAUACCGCAUACGACCUACGGGUGAAAGCAGGGGAUCUUCGGACCUUGCGCGAUUGAAUGAGCCGAUGUCGGAUUAGCUAGUUGGCGGGGUAAAGGCCCACCAAGGCGACGAUCGGUAGCUGGUCUGAGAGGAUGAUCAGCCACACUGGAACUGAGACACGGUCCAGACUCCUGCGGGAGGCAGCAGUGGGGAAUAUUGGACAAUGGGCGCAAGCCUGAUCCAGCCAUACCGCGUGGGUGCAGAAGGCCUUCGGGUUGUAAAGCCCUUUUGUUGGGAAAGAAAAGCAGCAGGUUAAUACCCCGCUGUUCUGACGGUACCCAAAGAAUAAGCACCGGCUAACUUCGUG